UGGGGAAUUUUGGACAAUGGGGGAAACCCUGAUCCAGCCAUCCCGCGUGUGCGAUGAAGGCCUUCGGGUUGUAAAGCACUUUUGGCAGGAAAGAAACGUCAUGGGUUAAUACCCCGUGAAACUGACGGUAUCUGCAGAAUAAGCACCGGCUAACUACGUGCCAGCAGCCGCGGUAAUACGUAGGGUGCAAGCGUUAAUCGGAAUUACUGGGCGUAAAGCGUGCGCAGGCGGUUCGGAAAGAAAGAUGUGAAAUCCCAGAGCUCAACUUUGGAACUGCAUUUUUAACAACCGGGCUAGGGUGUGUCAGAGGGAGGUGGAAUUCCGCGUGUAGCAGUGAAAUGCGUAGAUAUGCGGAGGAACACCGAUGGCGAAGGCAGCCUCCUGGGAUAACACUGACGCUCAUGCACGAAAGCGUGGGGAGCAAACAGG
RNAcentral lists this ribosomal RNA (429 nucleotides) under Acidobacteriota bacterium. Its description in RNAcentral is "Acidobacteria bacterium partial 16S ribosomal RNA". It matches the Rfam family "Bacterial small subunit ribosomal RNA", at positions 355 to 776 of the family's 1533-position model. Lineage: Bacteria; Pseudomonadati; Acidobacteriota. The record is from RNAcentral.